RNAcentral lists this long non-coding RNA (376 nucleotides) under Brassica napus (rape). Its description in RNAcentral is "long non-coding RNA (BNAP_LNC009003)". The record is from RNAcentral. Lineage: Eukaryota; Viridiplantae; Streptophyta; Magnoliopsida; Brassicales; Brassicaceae.
CAGCACCAAAGUUUCACCGGUUCGCAUGCUGCGGGAAUAUACUCUUUUUUUAAUGUGAAUUGUUGGAUAUUUGAAAGCAUACCCCAUUUACUAUUAUGAAUAAACCACAUGUAAGGACAAAAGAGCUCGUGUUAUGGUAAAGACUCCACGGUUAAAAUAAUAAUCUCUUCCAACUAGAAGCGAGAGCAGCUUAAGUUAAUCCUAUUGACACCGCCGUUGUAGUUCGAACUCAUAACCUUAUGAUAAGUGGAUUAAAUCUUUGAUUUGUUUCAUUUACUUUAAUAUAAGUUUGGUUUUGUUGUACUACUUGGUCAUUUCGUAGCUCAGCCCACUAUAUAUACCCUCUCAUGCCACCACCAACUAAUAUCCCAUCCAA